CGCGGGGUGGAGCAGCCAGGUAGCUCGCGAGGCUCAUAACCUCGAGGUCGCAGGUUCAAAUCCUGCCCCCGCCA
RNAcentral lists this transfer RNA (74 nucleotides) under Planctomycetaceae bacterium. RNAcentral describes it as "tRNA-Met". It matches the Rfam family "tRNA". Rfam says of the family: Transfer RNA (tRNA) molecules are approximately 80 nucleotides in length. Their secondary structure includes four short double-helical elements and three loops (D, anti-codon, and T loops). Lineage: Bacteria; Pseudomonadati; Planctomycetota; Planctomycetia; Planctomycetales; Planctomycetaceae. RNAcentral also lists the same sequence under 2 other names. The record is from RNAcentral.